Molecule: long non-coding RNA, 1343 nt
Filed under: Sorghum bicolor (sorghum)
Lineage: Eukaryota; Viridiplantae; Streptophyta; Magnoliopsida; Poales; Poaceae
Description: long non-coding RNA (SBIC_LNC002974)
Source: RNAcentral
AUGCUAAUCUGUAUCUAAUAAAACUUAAGCAUGGAUAUGAUGAAUAGUUGCUCUGCCUAAUUUGCACAUUUUAAGUUCUCUCUCAAGUUUAGACAUAACUGUUAUAAUUUAAAGCUUGCCCUAGACCUAAACUUGUGGGAUGAAAACUUGAUCUGAAGUCUAAGUUGUUAACGGAUACGAUAUGGAAAGGCUGAGCUGCUGUUUAUCUGUUCCUAGAGAUGCUAGAAUUCUGGAAAAUUUUAACUUUGAAAAUCUUUAAAAUGUUGCAUGAUGAGUUCCUGUAUGAUGAGAGUUUAAAUUCCUACCACAACCAUAUAUACAUGCUUGCUAGACCUUGAGCCACGCAUUUACUAUUUACUGCUUAUGAGCAUUGAGUAUGGUCAAGCUGUGUAGACCCUUAGGAGCUUGUCAUGUGGUUAAAUCAAGAUUUCACUUGCACGUUCACUCAUAUAUGCUACUUCUACUCCGGAAGUACCAUCCACAUAUAUCCACCCAUUCCAUCUCCAGAACCACCUAAAAAUAUUCUACCCCUAAUCCGGGAGAGAAUAACCAAAAAUAUUUCUGUUUUCCCUUGUGAAAUAAAUGCUCCAGUUAUCUUGUUACUACCACUUGCUAUAUUAUCUCAAGAGAUGAGUGCUCUAAAAAAAAGAAGAAGAAAAUAAUACGAGGAAAUAAAAAGGAGCAAGUGCUCGGAACCUCGAAAGAAAAGAAAAAGUGAGACGAGAGGUAAAAAUGGACAAGUGUCCGACAGUAGAAUUAGGGGUGCAAGAUACCCACCUGAGAGAAAAGAAAAAGAAGAGCAUCUCAUUCUCCUCAUAAAGUUUCAAAAGCAAGGAAGGUAUGUAUCCCCUCAAAAGAGCAAAGUAGAAUUAGACUUUCACCACCAUUGUUUUCACCAUUGUUUUCACCAUUGUUUUCACCAUUGUUUUCACCAUUGUUAUCACUAUCACCACCAUACAUCAUUCAUUCGCCACACAUGCACAUCUUGAUUUGGCUUAUUGAUUUGUUUCUUUGGAUCCACGGUUUGACUAUGCAAUAAAUGUCUUGUAAGUAUGUAUAUUUUAUCUCCCACCUAUGAGCUCCAGAUAUUAAAGCCUUAUUAGAGUAGGGUGAGAGAGAAGGCAAUGUUACUAUGCCUCAUACCACAAAUACCACAUAUCUUGAGAGAAGGCAUAUACCAUCAAUGCCUUGGUAAGGAUCCAAAAAUACCACAAAAGAGAGACCUGAGAGAAUCAUACAAGGAAUUCUGAGUUUUAUUUGAAAAUCUGCAAAAACCCCAGAGCUAUAGCUGAUCAAGAAUAAGAGACAUGGCACUUGGCUAGACUGUUCUAUCUUUUAACCAC